CAAAUUUGACUCAGGGAGAGAGAGGGAAGGGGGACAGAAGGGUUGACAGGUUGGAGGGAGGGAAGGGGGACAGAAGGGUUGACAGGUUGGAGGGAGAGGAUCGUCGGGAUUUAGGGGAGAGGAUUUUCGGCAGGGAGGUAUGGGUUUAGGGAGAGAGAGAGUAAGGGAGAAGUAUGGGGUAGGCGGAUUUCCAGGGAUUUCUUUUCACCCCUUCACUCACCACGAACCCACCUUUCCCUUCUUUUCUUCCGUCCUCAAAUCUUCUGAUUUCCCUCUCACAAAAUACCCACCAAGGAAACCCUACUUUUGGUUUAUUUUGGGAUUUUGUUUGCGCUCUCGAUUUUCAGACGACGGGCCAAUUGGUUGAGAUUUGGAUUUCUUCUCCUUUUGUCGAAACGCACAAAUUUUGUUUCGGUGGGAUUGGUCUCGAAUAGCUGCGUGUGUCUACCCUUUCCAAGAUGGAUAGAUGUGUGGCUCGGUUGCAGGAGCUGCAGUACACAGUUUCGGGCGGUACGAAGGUGAUCUCAGGAGUGAGUCUCCGCCCUGGGAGUUCUAGAGGUUAUCUCAGGGCUAGCCUCCGAUGCAAACAAGAAACUGCAAGGAUUAAAGGCUCAGCCCCUAGAAAAUCUCCUGUUGGCAAGUUUCCAGCAAAGGCAGGAGCUGUAUAAGUUUUCCAUAAGCUUCGAUCAUCUCCCCAAUAAACCCAGAGCCUCCUUCUCUCCCGCUAAGCAAAAGAAAAUCAAGGAGGCCUGCAACUUCGUAUGCAGUCCGCCACUGCAAAUCAGUCUGGAAACUGGAUUCAAAGGUCAUAUUUUUCACUUUCUGGAUGUGCAAAGUCUGGAUAGUACACAUCACCGGACCAAACCUUUAUCAGCAGAAUUGCGGAUUUCUAAAUCGAAAAGGAGAAAUAAACACUAUAGAAGUUUAUGCAGAAGGAGCAUGUAAAAGAGAAGCACAGGUAAAGGUUUAUGAGGUGAGGACAACACACUUAUCAGGGCAAUGUCGGGAUGUUUUGGCUUGGGUGGAGACAUGGACUUAUGGAAGAGAUGUUGGGGACCGGUUACUGGAAUACAAGAUUUGGAACAAAAGUGGUUGACAAUGCAAGAGUCGAAAGCAAGUGUGAAAUUCGCAUUGAAAAUGACAGGAGAGGGUUACGCAUGAUCCGUAGGUUCAUUCAACCUCGCUGUUUUCGUUAGAAUCACAAUUAAGGUCAG
Molecule: non-coding RNA, 1214 nt
Organism: Malus domestica (apple)
Lineage: Eukaryota; Viridiplantae; Streptophyta; Magnoliopsida; Rosales; Rosaceae
Source: RefSeq, a predicted model, not a curated record